Molecule: RNase P RNA, 386 nt
Filed under: Actinokineospora xionganensis
Lineage: Bacteria; Bacillati; Actinomycetota; Actinomycetes; Pseudonocardiales; Pseudonocardiaceae
Description: RNase P RNA component class A
Rfam family: Bacterial RNase P class A
About the family: Ribonuclease P (RNase P) is a ubiquitous endoribonuclease, found in archaea, bacteria and eukarya as well as chloroplasts and mitochondria.
Source: RNAcentral
CGAGUCGGCAGGGCGGCCGCGGCGGUGUGAAAGCAUCGGCGAGGAAAGUCCGGACUCCGCAGGGCAGGGUGGUUGUUAACGGCAACCCGGGGUGACCCGCGGGACAGUGCCACAGAAAACAGACCGCCUGGUGAGAGCCAGGUAAGGGUGAAACGGUGGUGUAAGAGACCACCAGCAUCUCGGGUGACCGAGGUGGCUAGGUAAACCCCACCCGGAGCAAGGCCAAGAGGGAGCCUCCGGGCUCCUGCGCAGACGUUCGAGGGCUGCCCGCCCGAGUCUGCGGGUAGGCCGCACGAGCCUGCCGGCGACGGCAGGCCUAGAUGGAUGGUCGCCCACCGGAACUUCGGUUCCGGGGACAGGAUCCGGCUUACAUGUCGGCUCGCCCG